UAUCUCUCCGUACGGGGAAGGAUGAGAAGCUUCGACUAAGGUUCGAUUCGAGCGCAGCGAGAAAGCGUUGCCGCAGGCAACGACCCGAAGGGCGAAGCGCGCAGCGCUGAGUCAUCCUUCCCCCACCAC
Molecule: small RNA, 129 nt
Filed under: Salmonella enterica
Lineage: Bacteria; Pseudomonadati; Pseudomonadota; Gammaproteobacteria; Enterobacterales; Enterobacteriaceae
Also listed under: 1 other name
Description: partial RtT sRNA
Rfam family: RtT RNA
About the family: This family represents a bacterial cis-regulatory element known as RtT RNA. The exact function of RtT is unknown although it is thought that it may be involved in changing the cellular response in relation to amino acid starvation.
Source: RNAcentral